Molecule: ribosomal RNA, 216 nt
Filed under: Glomeromycotina sp.
Lineage: Eukaryota; Fungi; Glomeromycota
Description: partial small subunit ribosomal RNA
Rfam family: Eukaryotic small subunit ribosomal RNA (bases 87-216)
Source: RNAcentral
GGGUCAGUAGGUUGGUCGUGCCACCGGUACGUACUGGUCUCACUGAUUCCUCCUUCCUGAAGAACCGUAAUGCCAUUAAUUGGGUGUUGCGGGGAAACAGGACUGUUACUUUGAAAAAAUUAGAGUGUUUAAAGCAAGAUAACGCUUGAAUACAUUAGCAUGGAAUAAUGAAAUAGGACGAUCGAUCCUAUUUUGUUGGUUUCUAGGAUUGACGUA